CUGACUGCUAUCGGAUUGGUACUAAGCCAUGCGAGUCGUUGUAGCAAUACAAGGCGGACGGCUCAGUAACACGUAGUCAACCUAACCUAUGGACGUGGAUAACCUCGGGAAACUGAGAAUAACCCGCGAUAGAUCAUAAUGCCUGGAAUGGCUUAUGGUUAAAAUAAUUUAUUGCCGUAGGAUGGGACUGCGGCCUAUCAGCUUGUUGGUGAGGUAAUGGCCCACCAAGGCUAUAACAGGUACGGGCUCUGAGAGGAGAAGCCCGGAGAUGGGUACUGAGACACGGACCCAGGCCCUAUGGGGCGCAGCAGGCGAGAAACCUUAGCAAUGUGCGAAAGCACGACUAGGUUAAUCCGAGUGAUUUCUGUUGAAGAAAUCUUUUGUCAGUCGUAAAACCACAGACGAAUAAGGGGUGGGCAAGUCUGGUGUCAGCCGCCGCGGUAAUACCAGCACCUCGAGUGGUCAGGAGGUUUAUUGGGCCUAAAGCAUCCGUAGCCGGCUAUGCAAGUCUCCGGUUAAAUCCAACUGCUCAACAGAUGGGCUGCCGGAGAUACUACACAGCUAGGGAGCGGGAGAGGUAGACGGUAUUCUGUGGGUAGGGGUAAAAUCCACUGAUCCAUAGAGGACCACCAGUGGCGAAGGCGGUCUACCAGAACGCGUUCGACGGUGAGGGAUGAAAGCUGGGGGAGCAAACCGGAUUAGAUACCCGGGUAGUCCCAGCUGUAAACGAUGCAAACUCGGUGAUGCAUUGACUUAUGGUCAAUGCAGUGCCGCAGGGAAGCCGUUAAGUUUGCCGCCUGGGAAGUACGGACGCAAGUCUGAAACUUAAAGGAAUUGGCGGGGGAGCAC
RNAcentral lists this ribosomal RNA (849 nucleotides) under uncultured archaeon. RNAcentral describes it as "bacterial SSU rRNA". It matches the Rfam family "Archaeal small subunit ribosomal RNA", at positions 23 to 879 of the family's 1478-position model. The record is from RNAcentral.